AAAGGAUAACAAACGUGAACCACGUGUGCUGUCUCCCAGGCUUUGUGAGUGGAACACGGGCAGCUUCCAAACACAGGGCAGGUGCCACCUGUUUUCAUCGGGAAAGAAAUCUGUCUGGGGCAUCCUGCAGGUCUGAACAAUCUCAUGUGGAAAGCUCUGUCCCCGCACGGGCCUCCGGGGCACUGAAAGGACACCUGCAGCCCUACUGUGUGCUCCUUGCCCACUUUUUGGCCCGGAUCCAACAAUGUUGGCAGAUGUCAAGAUAAGCACAUCAUGCACAAGUUUCUAAUCCCACCUGAAGGUCAUCCUGAAAUUCACCGUCUGUGGACCCAAGGAAAGCAAGCUGAGCUGAGGGUGGGAAUUAGCAGGACCACUUGGCAUUUGAAUAAAGACAGCCAGGUGUUUAGAUCCAGAACAGGGCGGGCAAGCAAGGGAAGGGAGGAAAGAGAGCCAGUAAACAGGUACUCAGGCUCACUGACGCACAGCUGCGCGGAGACGUUUCCUCCUCCCAAACUUGGCGUCUGGGCUCUAAUCUCAGGUUCUAGCUCCCAAGGGGUUUGGAUGCAGCACCGGCAUUUCUUAGUUAAGCAAACCCGCGUGCCUAUAGACAGUGAAAGAAGUCCUUUUCCAAGAUACAGAUGCUGGGGACGUCUGCUGUGGGCCAGGCCUGCCCCUGCAUCUCCAGCUGGGGCGCGCCGACCUGACCGCGGGAGGCUGGCCACUGGCGGGAGCACCACGUGCCCGAAGCCCUGCGGAGGCCCAGCAGGUGCAGCGAUGCCCGAGCCUGGGGGAGCCGGGAUCCAGAGUGGCCGGUCCCACCCACAGCGGUGUACCCGGUGCCUCCUGAAAAGGCUUGGAAAGCGCUGCCUUCCGGUCGCUGUCCGGACACAGGACCAGCUUUGGGGAAACACUGAUGGGAAAAGUAUCUUCACAAAUCAACUGUGAAAUAAUACAGACACAAGCAAAUCCUCCAUCAUUCAAGCUGCCUACUGAACUACAGACCGUCUGCAGUGAAUCUGGAGUUUAAGCCUGCUACAGCCAACUGCAGAGCUUCCCAGCUGCCAUGGUCAGAGCAGAUUCUAAGUGGACAGACACGGGUCUGCAGGCUGGAGUGGUGGGCUCUCGCUGGGAGACCUUACCAAGAAGUGUGGUCUGCAGGCAAGAAUCAACUUGGCCCAAAAUCACUGGCAAGAUCUGUCAAAGUCAGGAAUAAGGUAAGGCCACAGGCCUGCUCACGGGGUGGGCGCAGGCUGAGAGGCGGUCUUCCAAGCCAAAAGGAAAUGGGAAGAAGCCCCGCUGAGACCUGGCCAACAGACCAAGGGCAGGGAGGAAUCUUUAGUCUCAGGGGAGGGAGGACUGGCCCGAGAGAC
This is a long non-coding RNA of Myotis daubentonii (Daubenton's bat), 1370 nucleotides long. RefSeq lists it as uncharacterized. NCBI's taxonomy places the organism in Eukaryota, Metazoa, Chordata, Mammalia, Chiroptera, Vespertilionidae. The record is from RefSeq and is a predicted model, not a curated record.